GACAGAAACACGCACUGCCAGGGCCGCAGACUUGGAAAACCAAGUGCUACUGCAGAUGGGUUCCUUCAAGGCAGGGACUAGGCUGGGGCUGAGCUGGGGUCCUGCUCUCCGGGCCCACCUCUGAUGGAGAAGCGGCCACCCUGUCCCAGCAGGCUCUUUAGUGACGGAUCUCUAGGGCCAGGCUGGCCAAGGCUGGCCCUACUCAAUAGCUGGGGCUUCAGCUUUGGGCACGGCCCACGAGGCUGCGCAAAGGGAAUUUUCCACUGCCAGGUUUCAUUCCGCUCACGACACCGCCUGACUGUUUACAGCGAGCGGAAAGGUGCAGCCACCCCCGGGCGCAGCCUUGGUGGGAUGCGAGGGUGGAUAACAGGAGUUCUUGUGUGUCCUGACCCUGGCGGCUGCACCCUGGAGUGCUGGGGUGCGCGGAGGCGCUGUACCCAGAGAGGAGCAGGGCCCUGGGAGCAGUAGAGGGCACAGGAAGCCACUGCGUGGCUGCGUGGCUGCCCUGCCGCCCUCCCUCCCUCCCUCUCUCCCUCUCUCCCUUGGAUGCUCCCUUGCCUGGGACUGAGAGAUGUCCCGCGUGGGUGCAGAGCCUGCAGGGGGAACUCACCACGAAUGUAGGACUUUAAGACCCCAAGCUCAGAUUCUACAACGCCCAUGGGAUCAAGAGGUGUGCAGUCCCCUUCUCCCCUUCCCCCCCCCCGAAAAACGUCAGUAUCUGGUUGGCCAUAGCACCCCAAAGGUCAUUAAGGUGGCUCCAAAACGCUUUGGGAGUGGAGAGGAAGAACGAAAUAAACUGUUCCUGGUUUGACCCUAAACAACUUAA
Molecule: long non-coding RNA, 826 nt
Organism: Onychomys torridus (southern grasshopper mouse)
Lineage: Eukaryota; Metazoa; Chordata; Mammalia; Rodentia; Cricetidae
Exons: 2
Source: RefSeq, a predicted model, not a curated record